UACGGAGGGGGCAAGCGUUAUUCGGAAUUAUUGGGCGUAAAGGGCGCGUAGGCGGCUUGGCAAGUGGAAGGUGAAAUCCCUCGGCUUAACCGAGGAACUGCCCUCCAAACUGCUUCGCUUGAGACCGGGAGAGGUGAGUGGAAUUCCCAGUGUAGCGGUGAAAUGCGUAGAUAUUGGGAGGAACACCAGUGGCGAAGGCGGCUCACUGGACCGGUACUGACGCUGAUGCGCGAAAGCGUGGGGAGCAAACAGG
RNAcentral lists this ribosomal RNA (253 nucleotides) under uncultured bacterium. Its description in RNAcentral is "partial 16S ribosomal RNA". It matches the Rfam family "Bacterial small subunit ribosomal RNA", at positions 524 to 776 of the family's 1533-position model. The record is from RNAcentral.